GUGGGGAAUAUUGCGCAAUGGACGAAAGUCUGACGCAGCGACGCCGCGUGGGUGAUGAAGUUCUUCGGAACGUAAAACCCUGUCUGGUGGAACGAAAAAAAUGACGGUACCACCGAAGGAAGCCCCGGCUAACUCCGUGCCAGCAGCCGCGGUAAUACGGGGGGGGCUAGCGUUAUUCGGAAUUACUGGGUGUAAAGGGCGCGUAGGCGGCCUUGCUAGUCAGGUGUGAAAUCCCUCGGCUCAACUGAGGAACUGCGCUUGAUACUGCAAGGCUUGAGUACAGGAGAGGUGGGCGGAAUUCCCGGUGUAGCGGUGAAAUGCGUAGAUAUCGGGAAGAACAUCGGUGGCGAAGGCGGCUCACUGGACUGUAACUGACGCUGAGGCGCGAAAGCGUGGGGAGCGAACGGGAUUAGAAACCCCAGUAGUCC
RNAcentral lists this ribosomal RNA (428 nucleotides) under uncultured bacterium. RNAcentral describes it as "bacterial SSU rRNA". It matches the Rfam family "Bacterial small subunit ribosomal RNA", at positions 354 to 796 of the family's 1533-position model. The record is from RNAcentral.